CGUAGGGGGCAAGCGUUGUCCGGAAUUACUGGGCGUAAAGGGCGUGUAGGUGGGUAAUUAAGUCAUGGGUGAAAACUGCGAGCUCAACUUGCAGACUGCCUAUGAAACUGGAUAUCUUGAGGGCAGGAGAGGAAGUGGAAUUCCUAGUGUAGCGGUGAAAUGCGUAGAUAUUAGGAGGAACACCAGUGGCGAAGGCGACUUUCUGGACUGUCCCUGACACUGAGGCGCGAAAGCUAGGGGAGCGAACGGGAUUAGAUACCCCGGUAGUCCUAGCCGUAAACGAUGGGUACUAGGUGUGGGAGGUAUCGACCCCUUCCGUGCCGGAGUUAACACAUUAAGUACCCCGCCUGGGGAGUACGGCCGCAAGGUUG
This 371-nucleotide ribosomal RNA is filed under the name uncultured organism. Its description in RNAcentral is "bacterial SSU rRNA". It matches the Rfam family "Bacterial small subunit ribosomal RNA", at positions 526 to 896 of the family's 1533-position model. The record is from RNAcentral.